Long non-coding RNA from Gallus gallus (chicken), 406 nucleotides. RefSeq lists it as uncharacterized. The transcript has 2 exons. Lineage: Eukaryota; Metazoa; Chordata; Aves; Galliformes; Phasianidae. The record is from RefSeq and is a predicted model, not a curated record.
GCCUCCAUGGAGGCCCCUCUCUGCAUGCACAAGUGGGCAAGAGCAGGGCAUUGUAGCCUCCCAUCCCAGCUGUGAUGUGAUCAGGAAGUGCAAGCAGAAACUGCCUCUUCAUUUUCAGUGGUGCCUACACAGUACAAGUGCUGAGGAGAUACGGAGCAAGCAGGUGUUAGCAGGGACAGAUCCUGCAGCCCUCGCUUGAAAAUCAGUGGGACUCCUGCCUCUGUGGGAAAGCACUGAAGGACCAAGUUCAGAAGUCACUGACUUAGGGUAGUGCUUCCCACUUUGGCUUGAAAGAGGCCAGAAAAACACAGGACACGGCAUAGGACACAUUAUACAUUUGCAUUUUGGCAUCAGCCAAAAUAUACAUCAAUACGAUGAGGUAUAUAGUAAAAAACACAUUCCUUCA